RNAcentral lists this ribosomal RNA (230 nucleotides) under uncultured bacterium. RNAcentral describes it as "partial 16S ribosomal RNA". It matches the Rfam family "Bacterial small subunit ribosomal RNA", at positions 524 to 751 of the family's 1533-position model. The record is from RNAcentral.
UACGUAGGGUGCGAGCGUUGUCCGGAAUUAUUGGGCGUAAAGAGCUCGUAGGCGGUGUGUCACGUCGGCCGUGAAAACCUGCAGCUUAACUGUGGGCGUGCGGUCGAUACGGGCAUCACUGGAGUUCGGCAGGGGAGACUGGAAUUCCUGGUGUAGCGGUGAAAUGCGCAGAUAUCAGGAGGAACACCGAGUGGCGAAGGCAGCCCCCUGGGUCAAGAUUGACGCUCAUG